AACAUUUUGGCCGCAGACCUUGGACAUUCCAACAGGACUGAGUACCAUCGCACACAGUACGCUCCACCCAAGAAUGGUUAAAAAAUGAGGUUACUCGCUUCAUUUCCAGCACACAAUGGACAUCAAAAUCUCCGGAUACCAAUCCCUUGGACUAUUGUGCCUGGAGUAUUUUGGAAAGCAAGGUAGGCAAUAAAAACCACACUUCGCCGGGAAUGGGCCAAAAUACCGCAGAGCAACAUUCGGGCAGCGUGUGACGGUUUCAUUGGCCGUUUAAAGGCCAUAAUUAGUGCUAAACGUGACCAAUUCGAACAAAUCUAAAUAAACUUAUUCUAAAAUUUGA
Molecule: long non-coding RNA, 340 nt
Organism: Musca vetustissima
Lineage: Eukaryota; Metazoa; Arthropoda; Insecta; Diptera; Muscidae
Exons: 2
Source: RefSeq, a predicted model, not a curated record